AACGAACGCUGGCGGCAUGCCUAACACAUGCAAGUCGAACGAGACCUUCGGGUCUAGUGGCGCACGGGUGCGUAACGCGUGGGAACCUGCCCUUAGGUUCGGAAUAACUCCCCGAAAGGGGUGCUAAUACCGGAUAAUGUCUUCGGACCAAAGAUUUAUCGCCUUUGGAUGGGCCCGCGUUGGAUUAGCUAGUUGGUAGGGUAAAAGCCUACCAAGGCGACGAUCCAUAGCUGGUCUGAGAGGAUGAACAGCCACACUGGGACUGAGACACGGCCCAGACUCCUACGGGAGGCAGCAGUGGGGAAUAUUGGACAAUGGGCGAAAGCCUGAUCCAGCAAUGCCGCGUGAGUGAUGAAGGCCUUAGGGUUGUAAAGCUCUUUUACCCGGGAUGAUAAUGACAGUACCGGGAGAAUAAGCGCCGGCUAACUCCGUG
RNAcentral lists this ribosomal RNA (433 nucleotides) under uncultured bacterium. Its description in RNAcentral is "partial 16S ribosomal RNA". It matches the Rfam family "Bacterial small subunit ribosomal RNA", at positions 29 to 507 of the family's 1533-position model. The record is from RNAcentral.